This 415-nucleotide unclassified non-coding RNA is filed under the name uncultured fungus. RNAcentral's name for it is "partial contains 5.8S ribosomal RNA, internal transcribed spacer 2, and large subunit ribosomal RNA". Lineage: Eukaryota; Fungi. The record is from RNAcentral.
AACGCAAGUUGCGCUCCCAUUUGCGUGGGAGCAUGCCUCUUUGAGUGUCGGUUUCCACACUCCUCCGCCGGUGUGCAUGUCACCAUGCGCACCGUGUCGGGACUGCACUGCGCCGUCGCGUGCCGCUGAGGCGCGCGUCGCGUGAAGCUUCGAGACGUGUCCGGCAUCGUGGCACCCGUGCCGCCUCUUGCACCGUCCGACGUGGGUAGGUUUCGGGGCGUUCGCGCUCCAAACACGACACGGCGGACCUCGUGCGUGCGGGGGCGACCAUGUGUGUGCCCGUGCCAUCCAAAGGACUUCGUGCGCGCUCCCCGCUGCUCUUCGCAGCGGCCCGGGCGCCGCGCCGGGCUCCGGCUCCGGCGCGAAAGCACCACGACUCGACCUCAAAUGAGGCAAGAAGACCCGCCGAAUUUAA